GACGAACGCUGGCGGCGUGCUUAACACAUGCAAGUCGAGCGGUAAGGCCCUUUCGGGGGUACACGAGCGGCGAACGGGUGAGUAACACGUGGGUGACCUGCCCUCAGCUCUGGGAUAAGCCCGGGAAACGUGGGUCUAAUACCGGAUAUGACUCCAUGACGCAUGUUGUGGGGUGGAAAGCCUUGUGCGGCUGAGGAUGGGCCCGCGGCCUAUCAGCUUGUUGGUGGGGUGAUGGCCUACCAAGGCGACGACGGGUAGCCGGCCUGAGAGGGCGACCGGCCACACUGGGACUGAGAUACGGCCCAGACUCCUACGGGAGGCAGCAGUGGGGAAUCUUGCGCAAUGGGCGAAAGCCUGACGCAGCGACGCCGCGUGAGGGAUGACGGCCU
This 389-nucleotide ribosomal RNA is filed under the name uncultured bacterium. RNAcentral's name for it is "bacterial SSU rRNA". It matches the Rfam family "Bacterial small subunit ribosomal RNA", at positions 28 to 417 of the family's 1533-position model. The record is from RNAcentral.